UCAACAGAAUUAUAAGUUUUU
Molecule: non-coding RNA, 21 nt
Filed under: Caenorhabditis elegans
Lineage: Eukaryota; Metazoa; Nematoda; Chromadorea; Rhabditida; Rhabditidae
Source: RNAcentral